Molecule: ribosomal RNA, 699 nt
Filed under: Triticum aestivum (bread wheat)
Lineage: Eukaryota; Viridiplantae; Streptophyta; Magnoliopsida; Poales; Poaceae
Description: partial small subunit ribosomal RNA
Source: RNAcentral
AUGGAGCUUCGCCGGACACCGUGGUGCUGCGUUGGAGCUCUUGGCGCGCCGUUGAGAGCCGCAAUGGAGCUUCGCGUGGAUGUCAUCGGUGCUGCAUUGAAGACACGGUGGUCAUCGUCGCGGACAGCUCCUCCGCCGACCCGCGCAAGUUCCCCGGUGCUAAGGUACCUCGAGGAGUUCGCGCGGCGGUUCGACCCCCUCGGGCUGGUCCGGUUCAGGACGGAGGUGGUGAGCGUCCCCCGCAGCAGGGACGACGACGCGGGCUGGAGGGUGAGGCUCGCCUGCGCUGGCAGCAAGCUGGAGGAGGAGGUUAGUGAGCAGCAUCAGGAGGAGGAGCUUCCUCACUCCGCCCUGGAUCUGCGGCUGCCCCGCCCCCCGCUGGCCAUGGACUCCGUCCUAGGGUUUCUGCCGCCGCCGCCGGAGAGGGGAGGGGAGGAGUGUAAAAGGACCAGAGUGAGAUGGCCGGACGGCUCCUCGGGUAGCUCCUCAUCAUGGACAGCACCGUCGUCGGCAGGGCCAUGGUGCAGGUCUACCACCAGACCAUUGUCACCGAGGAACAUCCUGUGGGCUACUUCGAAGCAUGAUGUGUACAUGAUGCAGAACUAUUCUGUGAUGCAUUGGUCGUCCUUACUCCGCAGAGGAAAAGAAGUGCUCAACGUGGCAGGCCCAAAUCAGGUGAUCUACCACAGAGCGAUGUGA